RNAcentral lists this ribosomal RNA (917 nucleotides) under uncultured bacterium. RNAcentral describes it as "bacterial SSU rRNA". It matches the Rfam family "Bacterial small subunit ribosomal RNA", at positions 8 to 916 of the family's 1533-position model. The record is from RNAcentral.
AGAGUUUGAUCAUGGCUCAGGAUGAACGCUAGCGGCAGGCUUAAUACAUGCAAGUCGAGGGGCAGCAGGGCGUGUAGCAAUACACGUCGCUGGCGACCGGCAAACGGGUGCGGAACACGUACGCAACUUACCCUGAACUGGGGGAUAGCCCACCGAAAGGUGGAUUAAUACCCCGUAAUAUUAUGGAGUGGCAUCACUUUAUAAUUAUAGCUCCGGCGGUUCGGGAUGGGCGUGCGGCUGAUUAGGUAGUUGGUAGGGGUAACGGCCCACCAAGCCUGCGAUCAGUAACUGGUGUGAGAGCACGACCAGUCACACGGGCACUGAGACACGGGCCCGACUCCUACGGGAGGCAGCAGUAAGGAAUAUUGGUCAAUGGAGGCAACUCUGAACCAGCCAUGCCGCGUGGAGGAUGAAGGCCCUCUGGGUUGUAAACUUCUUUUAUCUGGGAAGAAACCCACCUUUUCUUGGGUGGUUGACGGUACCAGAGGAAUAAGCACCGGCUAACUCCGUGCCAGCAGCCGCGGUAAUACGGAGGGUGCAAGCGUUAUCCGGAUUCACUGGGUUUAAAGGGUGCGUAGGAGGGUAGGUAAGUCAGUGGUGAAAUCUCCGGGCUCAACUCGGAAACUGCCGUUGAUACUAUCUGUCUUGAAUACCGUGGAGGUGAGCGGAAUAUGUCAUGUAGCGGUGAAAUGCUUAGAUAUGACAUAGAACACCAAUUGCGAAGGCAGCUCACUACACGAAUAUUGACUCUGAGGCACGAAAGCGUGGGGAUCAAACAGGAUUAGAUACCCUGGUAGUCCACGCCCUAAACUAUGGAUACUCGACAUACGCGAUACACUGUGUGUGUCUGAGCGAAAGCAUUAAGUAUCCCACCUGGGAAGUACGACCGCAAGGUUGAAACUUAAAUGAAUUGACGG